AGCAGUAGCCGCGGGAACACGUAGGGGGCUAGCGUUAUCCGGAUUUACUGGGCGUAAAGGGUGCGUAGGUGGUCCUUCAAGUCGGUGGUUAAAGGCUACGGCUCAACCCAUGAAUUGCUUUGGAAACUGUUAGGCUUGAGUGUCGGAGGGGUAAGCGGAAUUCCUAGUGUAGCGGUGAAAUGCGUAGAUAUUAGGAGGAACACCGGAGGCGAAGGCGGCUUACUGGACAACAACUGACGUUGAGGCUCGAAGGCGUGGGAGCAAACAGGAUUAGAUACCCCAGUAGUCCCUGUCUCUUAUACA
This 303-nucleotide ribosomal RNA is filed under the name uncultured bacterium. RNAcentral describes it as "partial 16S ribosomal RNA". It matches the Rfam family "Bacterial small subunit ribosomal RNA", at positions 507 to 808 of the family's 1533-position model. The record is from RNAcentral.